This is an RNA transcript of Cynoglossus semilaevis (tongue sole), 1647 nucleotides long. RefSeq lists it as uncharacterized. Lineage: Eukaryota; Metazoa; Chordata; Actinopteri; Pleuronectiformes; Cynoglossidae. The record is from RefSeq and is a predicted model, not a curated record. The transcript is spliced from 2 exons.
ACAAAGAGAGAGAGAGGGGUGGGUGGGUGGGUAUUAAUACCAGAGAAAUGUACAAUUCAAUUUCAUUUCCAAAGUAACAAUUAAGAAUACUAUUUUGUCUUGAAUCGUAAACGUGUAUCCAACCCUUGAGAACAGCUACAAAAUAGUUCUUCCCAUGGGUCACGCCCCAUUACUCCAUAAAAUUUAAUGGAAAUUGGUCGAGACCAAUUCUGCUAAUUGACAUACAGAAAGAUGACUGCACAGUAAACACUGCCCAGGAAGCACUGCUCAGCUUUCAGUAAUGAGAGAAUCGUUCCAAAAUUUAGAAUGUAAUCAAACUUACAAAGUAGCGUAAGAAGAAAUCUUUCACGUCGGAUUUUUGUUAUAUAUAGCACUGUAUAAAACUCUUUUAUAUAUAUACAUUUUAUACAAUUAAUAAAAAGUGCCAAUUACAGAUAUUUAAAAAACAUACAACAAUUGAAAACAAGCUUUAAAAAUAAUUUUGUUACAUUAAAAAAGUACAUCCUAAUACAAUUUCCGGUUUUGGAGCUAAGCUGCAGCUGAGUGCUAUAAAUACAGCUUCCGGUCACUAGAGGUCCAGAAAUCUGCGUGAAAGUACGUCUGUUUUUAACUGCCGUGGCACAAAUGCAAAACCGCGACAAUUUUAAAAGUUUCUACGUCAACUGGAUCCUUAGACCUGCUCCGUUGUGUGAGCCUGUCAUUAUAUAUAAAACAAAUGAGCGAAAGCUUACGUUGUAGCCGUUUUCUGACCGGUAAGAGAGCAAAGCAACACCGCAGACAGCAACGCAAGGAUUAAAGAGGAGAGGACCCACAAUAGUAAGUUUUACAUUUCUUUGUUACAGAAUAUAAUUUUAAGUAUGUGUAAGGGUUAAAUAGUUGUGGAAAAGAGGGUAUAUAUAAAACCUUUAAUUGAUAUUGAAUGAGGUCUAUAAGUUACAACUGUGGCCCCUACUAUUCACGUGAUGUGGGACAGCUGUAACGGACUUGACCAUAAGUAUCUGUCAAGAGGUAACUUCCUAAGAAUAGUAGGUACAUGGAUGUCUCAGAAGCUAAAUGUUUUAGUUUAGGAUGUUAAUAGUUUUGGUAUAUUUCAAACCAAUGAAAUCUGUUGACCCUACAAGAUUACAAAACAGUAGUUUGUUUUGAUUGACAAUGUAUACGAUUUUACCUCAUUUUAAUAUUUGUCUUGUAUUGGAUUUCUGUUUUGGUACUUUGUGUACAGCCCACUGUGAUAUAAUUUUAAAUGUUUGUCAUUUUUUAUUUCAGGUGCUAAUUUUCCAUUACUUGGCUUGGUAACAAAGACUCUGGACCAAAGCAUUGAGGUUGUUUAUAAUUUUUAUCAAAUGUAGGUAAUUUUUAAUUGCUCUUGUAUUAUCUUAACUUUAAUUUUAUGUUAAGAAUCUAUUCCAUAUUCAAAUUAAUAACUGCACAUGCUGCUGUACUGAUCUUUCAACUGACAAAUAAAAUCUACACAAAGUUCAGGUUGUUUUGAGAAUUUUUUUUUUUUAACAGACUUUUCAACAUAAAUCCUUAUUCUGUGUAACUUGUUAUAUCACAGAAAUGGCCAUUUAUGAUUUUACACAGAACAUGUAAGUCCAUUGUUUUUUUACAAUAGUGUCAAAAUGUAUUCUCAUAAAUAAAUGUUUG